GAUUGAUCGUGGAUUCCUAAGUUCCAAAACCAUGCCGGUGAAACAGGAAAAAUAAAAAACAAAAAUCAAAAUUGAGGCUAGGUAUUCUAUCGCACGCCCUCUUGGAGAGCGUGCACUAACAUCUUCACAAUACAAAAAUUUCUUUUCCACACGAGUGUUUCUCACAAACCCUAAACGCGAGUGGGAAAAAUGGUUGAGAGACUGCCAUUUUAGAGAGAGAGAGAGCGCGAGAGAGAUAGGGUAUAAUAGUGUGGGUGGCACCUCACCCUAACCAGGACGCCUCAAGCUCACAAUCCACUUCUGGGCUUCUGGCAAUCUUAGAUUUGAAUCAGGGGUUAAAGUUUGGCAUCACAGUUACUUCCCUGGCUGUGAUGCAAAUCUGCUUGUGGUCACUUCAGGCUAAGAUGCUGAAUUUUAGGUCCAUUUCCUGGCUACACCUCCUAGAACCUUGGCAAUUGGACCUGUACUAUGUAAGGGACCUUCUUUUGGAUCUGUUCCUGAAGGAGGUGAUACAGAUUAUGGAGGACAUGGACAUUGAUCAAGUAAUGGAUGUUCCAGACACCCCCGAUAGAUCAGCUGAGCGGAACAUAGAUGGUAGAAAAUGUGAUAAACAUGACAGUAGUUCAUUAGCAUCUGCUCAUUCAGGAAAUUCUAAGGAUAAAGGAGUUCUGAAUCAGCUGAGGGGCAGGGGUAGACUGGUCACUGAAAACGGGCACAGCAGAAGACUCCAAUUUCGUUCUCGGGAAAGCUCUGCCAAUUCUGGUGAAACUGAGUGCUGCAGUAAAUCCAUGGUUUCCCAAUUGGAGAAUUCUUCUGCUCCCAAAAGUGCUCAUUUGUUUAGGAGAAUGAGAUCAGACGGGAUCUCGAAGCAUGAAGCAAAACAUUCUAUUGGACCUCAACAUACAAAUAAAGGGAAAGCUUUCUGCAAUGGAUUUCCUUCCAAAUCAUCUGCAUGCCAAAAUGAUAACAAAUUUUUGGAUUUAAUUGGACCAAAUGGUGCUUUCAAAGAUCUUCUGGAUGAAGAAAUAGGAAAAGGAUCAAUGGCAACCAGUGGUUGUUCUUCCUUGCAUCGCAUUGAAAAUUCUCCAAAGCCAUCCUGCAAUACCUGGAAAGGGAAAGAAAAAACAGACAAUGGUGCAUGUGAUGGUUCUGGUUCAGGUAUAGGUUUUCGUGAAGCUUUUGAUAUCUCUAUUGAUAUUCAACCUAGAAGUGAAAAGCAUGUCUCCUCAUCUCUUAUUACCUCACCUAGAGUGUCUGGGCAAAAAAGGUUGGUACGGAAUGGAUGUAUUUCUCCACAUAAUAUUAUUGCAAGGGCUAAACAAUUAGCUGAACAGCAAAGUAGCAGCUCCAAAGAUGUUGAACAGAAUGAUGCUAAGGAUAUUUCAUCUAGAGCUUCACCAUCUCGGAUAGAUAUCAAAGAUCCAAUUGCUGAAAUCAAUAAUUCUAGUAGGGUCAAAGGAAAAAGCAUAAUAAGUCAGCCUUGUACAUCAAAGCAGCAUGACUUCGGAACUGUAACUAGGAGUCCAAUAGUUCAUAAUGAACAAGCUAAUGACAACAGUGACACUGGCAGAGAUGCAUUUGGGUGCUUUGAAGGACUGAGUGGUUGGAGAAGUACACGUAAUCGAUCAAAGAAAGUAGAUGUCCUCUUGUCUGAUGGGGGUGGGCAUCUUCCCAGGAGAAAUAAUGCUGUUCAAUGUUCUUUGCAUCAGAAAAAUGAUAAUGGAGUGGAGAAAAAAGAUGAUCCUGAAGUUCAGGCUAUGUCUUUACAGCAUGUGCCUGCUCCAUCUGGAGCUCAAACAGCUUCCAAUCUUAUGUCAGGGUCAAACCAAGUAAAUGUGAGGCAUCGUGCAAGAAGCAUUCUUAUUAAAAGACAAAGAAAGCAUGGAUCAGCUACUAGUAAUACUGGUGAAAGCUCCACCUCAGUUUUCAAUGACUCAGAGAUCAUGUUUCUUGGUUCAUCUGGGGAACCAUCAAAUUCAGGAUCAACCCGAAGCCAGAGUCAUCAUGGUCAAGGUGUCAUGGAGCCAGUUAUUGAAAUUGAUGAGCAGUCCCCUGAAAUAAGGCAUGUUGCCUCCCGAAAUGGAGGUAGCAUGAAUAAUGACGACUCAGAUGCCAGGGCAAGACAAAUAGAAGCAGAUGAGAUAUUGGCUCGUGAACUUCAAGAGCAAUUAUAUCAUGAAAUGCCUGUGGAUGGAGGUGUUGGGAUUGAUGCACAUAUCGCACAGAUGCUGCAGCAGCAGGAGCAAGUGCAGCCUACUUCUUCAAGUAGAAACCACCGUGUGCCUAGAGCUAGUGGCCCUGCGAUAUCGCGUUUGUACAGACAAUCACAAUCACGGUCUUCUCAGAACCCUUCAAUUAGGAGAGGAACACAAGCUCGGGGUCCUACAUCUACUAGAAUGGCACAGUUGAGGAGCCGUUUUCCCAACCAGAGUCAUGCAAUUCCUUCUGGAGAAAGGAAUCUUCACUUCCCUCUGAACAUGGACUUGGAUAUGAGAAUUGAUAUAUUGGAAGCAUUAGAGGCUGCAGUUGGUGAUUUUGGUGAUAUGAGAAUGCCUGGUCACAUCCUUCAAAUUCAACGUGAUUUCAAUGAGAAUGAUUAUGAAAUGCUAUUAGCCCUUGAUGAGAACAAUCACAAUGUUGGUGCAUCAGUCAAUCAGAUGAAUAGCUUGCCACAGUCUACAGUACAGACUGAUAACUUUGAAGAAUCUUGUGCAAUUUGUCUUGAGACCCCAACUAUUGGAGAUACCAUACGCCAUCUUCCUUGCUUGCACAAAUUUCAUAAAGAUUGUAUUGAUCCAUGGCUCGCGAGGAGCACUUCGUGCCCAGUUUGCAAGUCAUCCAUCACUUGAUUGCACUGGCAAUUCCGAUGAUUCUCUCUGUUUGCAGCUGGUUAAAUCAAAUCCAAGGAUUUGAUUGUGCUGAAGCUUGUAGCUUGUAGCUUGUGGCCUCUAGCCAAGCCUUGGUGUAUUUGGAACGAGCCUGGUGGUGGGGUGGCAUUUUAUCUUUUUGAAUCGGUUCAUGGUCUCGUCUCGUGUGCGGCAUAGCUUGUAGCUUGAGUUUGAAUCGAACCAAAACUUGGUGUUGGUGUUAUACAGAAGGGGCCUUAGACCAAUUUAAGAUUGUAAUGAGGCCGAUGCAAAAUGGAUGGCAUCGAACACGACCCUAGCCAUGAAACCUUGAACCUGAUUAAGGGGGCUGACGGGGGUCUUUGGGCGGGCAGCAGUUGUUGGGAUAACAAUAGGGGUGAAGCAAAAAAGCACAGUUUCAUGAGUAGAAUGUAGGGUGUUUUGGGAGCAAGGUAAUCCUUGUAAUUGUAUGGCCAUGUGAAAUUGAAGCCCUCAAUCUAGGCAUGUACUGCUUGGCUUAGAUGCUUGCAAUGUUACUUGCAUAUACCAGCUCCCACCUCCAACGUACACAAUUUUACUUGUUUGCAGGGAUCUGCACUUGCCCAACUCUCCAUUUACUUUCAUUUGCGUGUUUAGCUCUUUA
RNA transcript from Vitis riparia (riverbank grape), 3489 nucleotides. RefSeq lists it as uncharacterized. The transcript has 11 exons. Lineage: Eukaryota; Viridiplantae; Streptophyta; Magnoliopsida; Vitales; Vitaceae. The record is from RefSeq and is a predicted model, not a curated record.